This 464-nucleotide ribosomal RNA is filed under the name uncultured bacterium. RNAcentral describes it as "partial 16S ribosomal RNA". It matches the Rfam family "Bacterial small subunit ribosomal RNA", at positions 28 to 507 of the family's 1533-position model. The record is from RNAcentral.
GACGAACGCUGGCGGCGUGCUUAACACAUGCAAGUCGAACGGAAAGGCCCUGCUUGCAGGGUACUCGAGUGGCGAACGGGUGAGUAACACGUGGGUGAUCUGCCCUGCACUUCGGGAUAAGCCUGGGAAACUGGGUCUAAUACCGGAUAGUAGCCAUUUUUAGUGUGAUGGUUGGAAAGUUUUUUCGGUGUAGGAUGAGCUCGCGGCCUAUCAGCUUGUUGGUGGGGUAAUGGCCUACCAAGGCGGCGACGGGUAGCCGGCCUGAGAGGGUGGACGGCCACAUUGGGACUGAGAUACGGCCCAGACUCCUACGGGAGGCAGCAGUGGGGAAUAUUGCACAAUGGGCGCAAGCCUGAUGCAGCGACGCCGCGUGGGGGAUGACGGCCUUCGGGUUGUAAACUCCUUUCGCUAGGGACGAAGCUUUUGUGACGGUACCUAGAUAAGAAGCACCGGCUAACUACGUG